Molecule: non-coding RNA, 143 nt
Organism: Gossypium hirsutum (cotton)
Lineage: Eukaryota; Viridiplantae; Streptophyta; Magnoliopsida; Malvales; Malvaceae
Source: Rfam
UGUUAAAAUUUCAUCCAUUUCUACUUUUAAAAAUUAACUUAGUUGAUGGAAUAAUCAGUCAGUUACACGUGACGUGUCAUGUGUACCUUGUGCUUAUAUAGAGAGACUAGUUUUUACGGUAGAAAUAAGUGAAUUUUUAAACU